GGUGCUAUACUGCAGUCGAACGAACUUCCGUUAAUUGAUUAUGACGUACUUGUACUGAUUGAGAUUUUAACACGAAGUGAGUGGCGAACGGGUGAGUAACACGUGGGUAACCUGCCCAGAAGUAGGGGAUAACACCUGGAAACAGAUGCUAAUACCGUAUAACAGAGAAAACCGCAUGGUUUUCUUUUAAAAGAUGGCUCUGCUAUCACUUCUGGAUGGACCCGCGGCGUAUUAGCUAGUUGGUGAGGUAAAGGCUCACCAAGGCAGUGAUACGUAGCCGACCUGAGAGGGUAAUCGGCCACAUUGGGACUGAGACACGGCCCAGACUCCUACGGGAGGCAGCAGUAGGGAAUCUUCCACAAUGGACGCAAGUCUGAUGGAGCAACGCCGCGUGAGUGAAGAAGGGUUUCGGCUCGUAAAGCUCUGUUGUUAAAGAAGAACGUGGGUAAGAGUAACUGUUUACCCAGUGACGGUAUUUAACCAGAAAGCCACGGCUAACUACGUGCCAGCAGCCGCGGUAAUACGUAGGUGGCAAGCGUU
RNAcentral lists this ribosomal RNA (540 nucleotides) under Pediococcus pentosaceus. RNAcentral describes it as "bacterial SSU rRNA". It matches the Rfam family "Bacterial small subunit ribosomal RNA", at positions 43 to 542 of the family's 1533-position model. Lineage: Bacteria; Bacillati; Bacillota; Bacilli; Lactobacillales; Lactobacillaceae. The record is from RNAcentral.